UCAGAAAAGCGGGAGAGAUCCACCGACACUUACCGGAGUGGGAAGGUGAUGGAAGCGAAGGGGCACAAGAUGCUGGCUUGGAUGUUGCUGACCGCAUCGGGGGUUUACCUUCACAUCGUCCACAUUCAGGGUCUCCAGAUGGACUACCACUCAGAAAUGUCCUUAAUAUCCGCCUCCACUGACUAUCGAGUGAUAUCCGCUGCAAGCACCUGUGCCUGUCGUGUGCAGUGUCUUAAAGAAGUACAGUGCACUGCUGUUACGGUGAAGACGGAUUACAGCACAGGGAUGACCAACUGUUCAUUUACAAACAGACCUACUUGACCUCUGCUGACCUGUACUCAUCUGGAACCGCAAUCACAUGGAUUAAACCAGGAGUAUACCAACAAUUUACAACAACUACCCCGGCAACAACCACUUCGACAACAACCACCACUACCACCACCACUUCAACUACAACUUCUACUUCAACUACAACCACCACUCCAACUACAACUUCUACUUCAACUACAACUUCUACUUCAACUACAACUUCUACUUCAACUACAACCUCCACUCCAACUACAACGACGCCAGCAAUAACACAGUCGGACCUGGUGAUGAAGGCAUCGAAAAAGAUAGAUGAUGGUUCAGCAGGUAUAGAGUGCUGGAAGAAUGGCUUGAUGCUAUACACCGCGUACACAACGGAAGAGUUUCACCAAGUGAGAAAUGUACUCAUAGCCAAUGCGACCGCUUUCGACAAGGACCUCAUGGUGGAUUCAGGAACUCGAGAUGGACGGACUUCCUGGGUUUUAGCCGCGAUCCGGACGCCACCGAAUGGUUCAAGAAUGACGGCAAUCUUGCGCGAUGCUCAAGAA
This is a long non-coding RNA of Macrobrachium nipponense, 854 nucleotides long. RefSeq lists it as uncharacterized. The transcript is spliced from 6 exons. The record is from RefSeq and is a predicted model, not a curated record. NCBI's taxonomy places the organism in Eukaryota, Metazoa, Arthropoda, Malacostraca, Decapoda, Palaemonidae.